GCAUAUCAAUAAGCGGAGGAAAAGAAACCAACAGGGAUUGCCCUUAGUAACGGCGAAGUGAAGCGGCAACAGCUCAAAUUUGAAAUCUGGCCUAGGCCCGAGUUGUAAUUUGCAGAGGAUGCUUUUGGCGCGGUGCCUUCCGAGUUCCCUGGAACGGGACGCCACAGAGGGUGAGAGCCCCGUAUGGUCGGACACCAAGCCUCUGUAAAGCUCCUUCGACGAGUCGAGUAGUUUGGGAAUGCUGCUCAAAAUGGGAGGUAAAUCUCUUCUAAAGCUAAAUACCGGCCAGAGACCGAUAGCGCACAAGUAGAGUGAUCGAAAGAUGAAAAGCACCUUGAAAAGGGGGUUAAACAGUACGUGAAAUUGUUGAAAGGGAAGCGCUUGUGACCAGACUUGCGCCAGGCGGCUCAUCCGGCGUUCUCGCCGGUGCACUCCGCCUGGCACAGGCCAGCAUCGGUUCUUGCCGGGGGAUAAGAGCUCCGGGAACGUAGCUCCCUACGGGGAGUGUUAUAGCCCGCUGCACGAUACCCUGGCGGGGACCGAGGUUCGCGCUCCGCAAGGAUGCUGGCGUAAUGGUCAUCAGCGACCCGUCUUGAAACACGGACCAAGGAGUCGUCCAUUAGAGCGAGCGUUUGGGUGUAAAACCCGCACGCGUAAUGAAAGUGAACGCAGGUGAGAGCUUCGGCGCAUCAUCGACCGAUCCUGAUGUACUCGGAUGGAUUUGAGUAAGAGUUUUACUGGACGGACCCGAAAGACAGUGAACUAUGCCUGAAUAGGGUGAAGCCAGAGGAAACUCUGGUGGAGGCUCGCAGCGGUUCUGACGUGCAAAUCGAUUCGUCAAAUUUGGGCAUGGGGGGCGAAAGACUAAUCGAACUGUCUAGUAGCUGGUUACCGUGA
Molecule: ribosomal RNA, 897 nt
Filed under: Asterosporium hoffmannii
Lineage: Eukaryota; Fungi; Ascomycota; Sordariomycetes; Diaporthales; Asterosporiaceae
Description: LSU rRNA
Rfam family: Eukaryotic large subunit ribosomal RNA
Source: RNAcentral